Molecule: ribosomal RNA, 647 nt
Filed under: uncultured bacterium
Lineage: Bacteria
Description: bacterial SSU rRNA
Rfam family: Bacterial small subunit ribosomal RNA
Source: RNAcentral
GUAAUGCGUAGGAAGCUACCCGAUAGAGGGGGAUACCAGUUGGAAACGACUGUUAAUACCGCAUAAUGUCUACGGACCAAAGUGUGGGACCUUCGGGCCACAUGCUAUCGGAUGCGCCUACGUGGGAUUAGCUAGUUGGUGAGGUAAUGGCUCACCAAGGCGACGAUCUCUAGCUGGUUUGAGAGGAUGAUCAGCCACACUGGAACUGAGACACGGUCCAGACUCCUACGGGAGGCAGCAGUGGGGAAUAUUGGACAAUGGGCGCAAGCCUGAUCCAGCCAUGCCGCGUGUGUGAAGAAGGCCUUAGGGUUGUAAAGCACUUUCAGCGAGGAGGAAGGGGUUGUAGUUAAUAGCUGCAAUCUUUGCCGUUACUCGCAGAAGAAGCACCGGCUAACUUUGUGCCAGCAGCCGCGGUAAUACAGAGGGUGCAAGCGUUAAUCGGAAUUACUGGGCGUAAAGCGCACGCAGGCGGUUGGUUAAGUCAGAUGUGAAAGCCCCGGGCUCAACCUGGGAAUUGCAUUUGAAACUGGCCAACUAGAGUAUGUGAGAGGGGGGUAGAAUUCCAAGUGUAGCGGUGAAAUGCGUAGAGAUUUGGAGGAAUACCAGUGGCGAAGGCGGCCCCCUGGCACAAUACUGACGCUCAGGUG